UGAGUGUGACAAUGGGCUGUUGUGAGGAGAAGUUCCAUGCAGAUUACGAAGGGUUCAGAAAGGACAGGGGAAUUGAAAGACAGCUGUAAUUAGAAAGCAUAGGCAUUCAAAGCUGCCUGGAGGUCAAAGGGGCUGGGCUGGCAGGCUGGGGAGAUCGGGCAGGAAAUGGGCACGGAAGCCCUGCAGUUCAGGGCUGACAUAAUUGGACAGAGAGCGGCAGCCAGUUACCAUGGUAACAGCCAAUCCGAGUGGCCGCGUAUGUGGCAAGGAGUCAAGGUUUCUAAAGAAGGGGCUAAAAAUGCUGCCUUUGUUCCCACUUUGAGCGAGUUGCCAUCAGAUCCCUGUGGGGGUGACGCGGCAUGGGGACAGAGCCAACAACUGCUAGCCACCAUGGCUGGGAGGGAGCCACGGGACAAUGGACUUCCUGCAGGAAGGCAAGAGUUGAAGCAGGGGACCCAUGAGGAAACCACUGCGCUGGCCCAGGUUGGUGGCACAACUCACUU
This 503-nucleotide long non-coding RNA is filed under the name Pan troglodytes (chimpanzee). RNAcentral's name for it is "long non-coding RNA NONPTRT013761". Lineage: Eukaryota; Metazoa; Chordata; Mammalia; Primates; Hominidae. The record is from RNAcentral.